AGAAACUUAGGUUAAUCCAAAACCAGAGGCCUUCAAAGCCUCAAACAGGGUACACAUAUCCCUAGUUUCUG
RNAcentral lists this transfer RNA (71 nucleotides) under Eremias grammica (Reticulate racerunner). RNAcentral's name for it is "tRNA-Trp". The record is from RNAcentral. Lineage: Eukaryota; Metazoa; Chordata; Lepidosauria; Squamata; Lacertidae.